RNAcentral lists this ribosomal RNA (492 nucleotides) under uncultured bacterium. Its description in RNAcentral is "partial 16S ribosomal RNA". It matches the Rfam family "Bacterial small subunit ribosomal RNA", at positions 29 to 507 of the family's 1533-position model. The record is from RNAcentral.
AGUGAACGCUGGCGGUAGGCCUAACACAUGCAAGUCGAACGGCAGCACAGUAAGAGCUUGCUCUUACGGGUGGCGAGUGGCGGACGGGUGAGGAAUACAUCGGGAUCUACUUUUUCGUGGGGGAUAACGUAGGGAAACUUACGCUAAUACCGCAUACGACCUACGGGUGAAAGCAGGGGAUCUUCGGACCUUGCGCGAUUGAAUGAGCCGAUGUCGGAUUAGUUAGUUGGCGGGGUAAAGGCCCACCAAGGCGACGAUCCGUAGCUGGUCUGAGAGGAUGAUCAGCCACACUGGAACUGAGACACGGUCCAGACUCCUAAGGGAGGCAGCAGUGGGGAAUAUUGGACAAUGGGCGCAAGCCUGAUCCAGCCAUACCGCGUGGGUGAAGAAGGCCUUCGGGUUGUAAAGCCCUUUUGUUGGGAAAGAAAAGCAGCAGGUUAAUACCCCGCUGUUCUGACGGUACCCAAAGAAUAAGCACCGGCUAACUUCGUG